Molecule: non-coding RNA, 89 nt
Filed under: Aquabacterium sp. CECT 9606
Lineage: Bacteria; Pseudomonadati; Pseudomonadota; Betaproteobacteria; Burkholderiales; Sphaerotilaceae
Description: SAH_riboswitch
Rfam family: SAH (S-adenosyl-L-homocysteine) riboswitch aptamer
Source: RNAcentral
CCUUUCGAGGAGCGUUGCAAGGUUCGUCUUUCAUCAAGGCACGGACCCCAGGCUCGAAAGUGCCUCCCCUGCAACCGCGCUCACCCGCA